CCAAGGAUUACUAUACUGGCUGGGAGAGUGCGAUGUUGGCACGGUUCAAUCAAAUCGGGUGGUCUCUGCAUGCACUGGCUUGCGAGCAAGCUGCGAUGAUGUUUCGCUCCAUCUGAUUGAGCCGUGCCAAUAUCGCAAGCUUCUUUGCCUAGCAACCUGUACCG
Molecule: non-coding RNA, 164 nt
Organism: Brachypodium distachyon (stiff brome)
Lineage: Eukaryota; Viridiplantae; Streptophyta; Magnoliopsida; Poales; Poaceae
Source: RefSeq, marked provisional